GAGAUGUGUAUAAGAGACAGAGGUUAAGCAGAAGAUGCGGAGCCGCAGCGAAAGCGAGUCUGAAUAGGGCGCAUGAGUACGUGGUCGUAGACCCGAA
RNAcentral lists this ribosomal RNA (97 nucleotides) under Bacillus pumilus. RNAcentral describes it as "partial 23S ribosomal RNA". The record is from RNAcentral. Lineage: Bacteria; Bacillati; Bacillota; Bacilli; Caryophanales; Bacillaceae.